AAGGCUCCCCCCAACCCCCGUGAGUCCCGUCCUGCCCUGCCUUGAACUAGAACUCGGAAACCAGGACACAUAACUAUAAGAGAGUAGCUGCCAAAACAAGCUCCCUAAGGUCGCACCUAAGAUCCGAAGGAAUCGCUUGAGAACUAACUGCAUACCUGAAGUUAGCUUGUGUGCGCAUAGCGUUAUCUUAUCUUUGAAUACUUCCUUUAGGCGGCUAGAAAGAUGCAUAGCGUUAUCUUAUCUUCGAAUACUUCCUUUAGGCGCCUAGAAAGAUGUUAUUUGUGUGGUCCAUUCUAGUGACAGCAUUUCAAUUCUAUUGUAUUUAUGUAGGAGUCGUUGUUUUUGCUUUGUUUGCCGGAUUGGUACGCUUUCUUUUCUAAAAACCCUUCUCUCAUAGGUCGUUACAUUUCAGGCCAUUUACGAUCGUUUAAAGGGCCUUAUAUUAUAAAGUAUAAAGAAAGUCAAGAUUGUUCUUGCGGAGAAAAGCCUACUUACUUGCUCUUGCUGCUUUUAAUUUAAGAGCAAGUCGGUCUAGCUUGUUACUCUUUCACCUUUCAAAGAAGUCGAAAUAGAAAGGGGUAGGAAAGAUCCCGUGUACCUUGUUCAAGUUGCGGAUCUCCUUCAUUAGCUUUGAGUUCAUUGUUGUUCUUCUGGUUCUCCUUUAAAAGGGGUCGUGGGGGAAAAGCNNN
This 689-nucleotide long non-coding RNA is filed under the name Nicotiana benthamiana. Its description in RNAcentral is "long non-coding RNA (NBEN_LNC028029)". Lineage: Eukaryota; Viridiplantae; Streptophyta; Magnoliopsida; Solanales; Solanaceae. The record is from RNAcentral.